ACUAGUGAUUUCCGUACGUGAACCUGCGGAGGGAUCAUUGACACGUAUUCAAUUUCAAACCACAACCUAACUGUGAGUUGACUGUCGUUUGGCUCACGCCUGCGACUUUCGCUCGAGGGUACUCAUCUGCGCAUACUGUUCGCCAUGUGCGGAGGUGAGUACCAACCGUUCACAUUUUAUCUCCAUGUUUACUAUGAUAAACCAUUGUAAUAUCUUUACAACUUUUAGCGAUGGAUCCCUCGGCUCGGAUAACGAUGAAGGACGCAGCAAAAUGCGAUAAGCGCUGUGAAUGGCAGAAUUCCGCGAAUCAAGAGAAUGCUGAACGCAUACUGCGCUUUCGGGUUACUACUCGAAAGCAUCUUCGGUUCAGGGCAUGUAUUCUAUACUGCAAUGUCUGCAGUAGCUUUGUGCUACGCAAGCAUUGACGUUUCUGUGUGUCAGCGACGUUUUUACCGUUGACACAUCAAAUUUAGUAGUUGGCUCCAACUAAGUGCCUUUCGCUUGGUGAUGAUCAUCCCGAUUUCAACUAGCGUCUCACUUGUUGUGGCAUUACACGACUACCCUAUGACUUGAGAGUGGUUUAUGCACUCUUCUGUAACUGCAUGAACUCGAGGAAGGCUACCCGGUGAAUUUAAGCAUAUCAA
RNAcentral lists this ribosomal RNA (644 nucleotides) under uncultured eukaryote. RNAcentral describes it as "eukaryotic LSU rRNA". The stretch from base 220 to 375 matches the Rfam family "5.8S ribosomal RNA". The record is from RNAcentral.